Molecule: long non-coding RNA, 550 nt
Filed under: Brassica napus (rape)
Lineage: Eukaryota; Viridiplantae; Streptophyta; Magnoliopsida; Brassicales; Brassicaceae
Description: long non-coding RNA (BNAP_LNC004340)
Source: RNAcentral
UAGUGGUUUGGAGCUCUUCAGUUAGCUCUUAUCAAGCAACAUUUUGUGAUUCAAGGACGGCAUCUCUUGUGCUCGUCAUUAUGGUUGUGUUACUAGGUUCCGGCCGAUAUAUGUGUUCACAAAAUAGGCUUAUUUGUUCUUUAGCUUCUAUGGGGGAAGUGAUUUUCGGUAAGAAAGUCUUGAGCAUUGGUGAAAGUUAGUUUUUAAUUUCUAUGGUUUAGUAUUGUUGUAUUUGCUUCAUGUGUUGUUCGGCUUGUGGCUACGAGUUUAUCCGGUUUAUGUCUAUGAUGUGUUUUGGAUAAUUGUGUUGUGUUGAACAUCCCAUUUAAGUUUGUGAUGGAAUGAUUUGAUAAAAGAUAAUAAAAGUACGGUUCAUCUUCAAACAUGUAUCAUAUCCUAAAUAUGAUGAAAUACGAUGAAAUGAGGCAGUUAUUUUGUAAAUUCAAUUAAAAGUACAUACAUGUAAAAUUCUGAUAUUUAUUGAAAACAUGUAUCCCACUAACAUUUUACUUCUGCGAAUAAAAGUACUAUCGUAUUGAAAAUUGCCAAA